AUUCCGAUAACGAACGAGACUGAAACCUAUUAAUUAGUAUAUCUUUGACAGGGGAUAUCAUGCGAAAGCAUAUUAGGAAUUAAAUUUCUUAGAGGGACAACUUUUAGAUAGUCCUCCCAGCGGUAUAUGAGUACUAACCGUACUUUUUAUUUCUGGAGGGAUUAAUGAAAGGGAAGCGUUCAGCAAUAACAGGUCUGUGAUGCCCUUAGACAUCUUGGGCCGCACGCGCGCUACAAUGGAAGAAGAAAAGAGUUUAGGCAAGGAAUUAUUGCAUUUGGUUCUGCCAAGUGGAGUGAUUU
Molecule: ribosomal RNA, 299 nt
Filed under: Entamoeba invadens
Lineage: Eukaryota; Evosea; Mastigamoebida; Endamoebidae
Description: partial small subunit ribosomal RNA
Rfam family: Eukaryotic small subunit ribosomal RNA
Source: RNAcentral